This 244-nucleotide unclassified non-coding RNA is filed under the name Hevea brasiliensis (rubber tree). Lineage: Eukaryota; Viridiplantae; Streptophyta; Magnoliopsida; Malpighiales; Euphorbiaceae. The record is from RNAcentral.
AGGAAGGAUACUAACAGACCAUGCGGGAACUGUGUAUUUAGUUCCAUGAAGAUCAAUGGUAGCAUCUGAAGUGCUAUUUGCAUUUCCCAAAAAGCAGCUUGAUACUUUCUCAGUUGCAUAAAUAGUUGCCGUGACAGAGUUGUGAUAGUCAAUUGUGGUAAUGUUGCCAUGAGUAAGAGUUUCUUCUAUGGAAUGCAAGACUUCAUGAAGCUGCUUCAAAUGUCCCCAUUUUGGUUGAUUCAAA